CCAACACUGAACUAUACCUUCCCCCCUUUCUCCUGGACAUUUUAAAGUUAAUAUACAUAAGCUGGGAAGUGUUCAUUGUGAAAAUACAGAAUGAUAGGGUGGCGGACACGACAGCUCUGGUCUCUUAUCAAAAGACAGUUGAGAAUUACAUCUUGGUACUUUUUUCUCCUGUCCUUUUUAUUCUCACAUUUGUUGUUGAGCCUGCCUUUUUUCCUUUCUGGAGUUGUGAGUGAUGUCCAGGCCCUCCCCACCCACCUUAUACAUGUUUUCGUACACAUUUUAACUUGAGAGAUGGAUUUGUAAAUGUGCAUUUGUUUUAUUACCCCUGACAGCUAGAGACCAAGUAGAGGUGAAAUGAAAAAAUGAUGCAGUGAGGAGGCUCCAAGUGAAAAUUAUUUUUUAGUGGCAUCUGGGCUAUGAGAGUCAGUAUUUGGAACAAAUGGCCUUUUAACACUUAUGUUAUCAACCUAGUUGUUUGUUGGAGAAAUGACAACAAUGUUGUUUUUUUCAUGCCUUUUAAACCAUUUGAAUAAAAAUCAAAGGUGAAAACAGAACUUUCUCUCAACAGGAGAAAUGGCAUGAUUCACGACGCUGGCAGCUCACUGUGGCCACAGAGCAACCUGAGCUGGAAGGACCACGGGAAGGAUAUCGAAGCUUCAGGGGUCAGCGAGAAGGCAGCCGUGGUUUCAGAGGACAGCGGGAUGGAAAAAGAAGCUUCAGGGGACAGCGGGGAGGAAGCAGAAACUUCAGAGGAGGAUCAGGAGGUGGAAACAAAAGCAACAGAUCCCAAAACAAAGGCCAGAAGCGGAGUUUUAGUAAAGCAUUUGGUCAGUGAUUAGAAGUAGAGGAUUUGUGUGGCAGAAACAGGACUAUGGCACUAUGGAACUGAGUGGUAUUUUUCACACAGAAUUAAAGGCAGGUUGUUUCCUUUUGACCACUUGGCCAGUCCAUAUCCCCAGAAGAAAGACAGGCUUAAUCUAAAUUAUUUCAUCUGAUCAUUAUCAUUUCUAACUUUAUUGCUUUUAUUGGGUUUUCCUUUUGAAAAGUAAUGAAUUGAUUACAUUGUUAUUCUGAUAUAUUCUCUGUAGAUAUAAGAUAGAAUCAAGCAUGUAUGUCUAUACUUGUAAGUUGAUCUUCUUGUGUUUGUGUGCUGGGGAUUGAACCCAGGGCCUCCCACAUGCUAAGCAUGUGCCCUGUCACUAAGCUACUUAAUAGUAGCUUAAUAGUGUGCUCUUAAUAGUAUCCUCUUAAUAGUAUGCUCUUAAUUGUAUGCUUCCCUAAAGUAAAUAUUUACGGGAAUACAAUAAUCUGUGAAGGACCACAUUAGCCUUUAAAAGUCAAAAGCUUUGUUUUGUAAUUGGUAUCUUCAGCCUCCUGCCAGGUACUUAGUUGUGUGGUUCUCUAAUUUGCCUUCUGAGAAUUUAUACUGAGCAAUGUUUUGAAAUGAGUUUCAAACUUAGCUAGGUUGUGAUAGUUUAUGCCUGUGUAUAUGGUCUAGAUUUGAAGGAUGAAAUAACAUUCAAUAUAGGUUACCCAUGGUCAUGUGCAUUUUUAAACGCUUUUAGCUUCUCACUGUAAGGUGAGUCAUGCUUCAGUAAGUUCUUCACAGAUAAUAUAUAUAGAGAGAGAAAUACAUUUUGAUAGAAAGCCUGUGACUUUAAGGAAUUCCAAAUGUAUAAGAUGGCUCUGUAGCUUUCUUUGUAAAUAAGGAGGCUAGAUAAAUAGUGUUUGAAUGAUUGUACUCCACUUCUUCCUAUUGGAAGAUCAACAUUAUUAAGAAGGAAUUAAGGGAAUAGGGGACACAGGUUUGUGUAGAGUAUGUGCAAAAAAACUCACUAAAAAUAUUCUUUACAUGUAAGAAGGAAUAUUAAUAAGUGAAAAGCAAAGAGUACAAGUGAAGAUGCAUGAUAAAACAUUAUUUUAAUGAUUGAUGUGUAUUUCAAGAGGUUUACUUUUAAUGGGCAAACUGGGGUUUUGGGGGAGAAUGGUCUGCUGUAGUUUCUCAAUAGCCUAGAUUUUAAAGCCACAGAGUAGGACCUGUUUCUGUAAAACUGAUUCUCUCUUGAAAUGCUUUCAUUGAUUUAGAGACUUCCUUUAAGACAAACUGAAUGGUUAUUUAAGUUGUUUCUCUGUGGGAACUGAAUACUUAUUGUAGUUCCUGUCAGAUAACUACACCUGAGGACUUCAGUGUUUGUUGGAAACAUUCUACACAGCAUAGGUGCUCCAGAGUGGCAUUGUCCUCUUGCCUUAAUUUCUAGAAAUUGUCUUUGGUCUGUUUUUUUCCUCUAAUUGCCUCUCACUUGAUCAACUAGCAAAAAGGGGCUCUGAUAGCCAAUUUAGCUCCUGAUCAUUGAAAACAUCCUUUUUCUGUUUGAGCUUCAGUUUUAUCCGUAAGUCUGGGACCAGGUAUUUCUUGCUGUUUGAGAAUUCUCUUGGCCUUUUAUUCUUUUAUCCAUUUGUCAAUUUUAUCACUUUGUUUUUAUUCCUCAUGGAUUCCCAUCAAGCCACAGGGAAUUAGGAAAAGGUAUUUGAUGACAGUCCACAUGUGCCUUUGGGUUAUAAUUUAUUAGAUUCUGGUUUUGUUCAGAUACUUGGACAUGCUUUAGUAGAAACUAAAACAUCUAACAAUUUGGAUAGGAAUGGGUAACCUCAGGCAGUUUUGAAGACUAUAGUAACUGUGCAUGAUGGGAGUACACACCUGUAAUCCCAGCUGUUAUGGAGGCUAAGUCAAGGAGGAUCACAAGUUUGAGGCCAGCCUGGACAAAUGAUGAUAUUUUGUCUCAAUGAAAUUUUGAAAGGGGCUGGAUGUGGUAGAGCACUUGCCUAGCAUGUGAGACCUUGGGUUCGAUCCCAAGUACUAAAAAGAUUUGAUAGCUAUCCUUUAUGAAAGAUAGCUAAACCUUUUUUAUGUGGAUUAUGGAUUAGCCUAAAUUAGAAAAAUGAUCAGGCAUAAUGAAGAGUGAAAAGGAAGAGUAAUAGGAAUUUCACUUUAUACAACUUAAUUUUAAGAAAAACAUGGCUCUUUCAAUAAACGAAGCUAACAUUUCUUUUGGAUUCCAGAAUUCAAACCAUAUUUAUAAGUGUAUAAUUGAGCUGUUAUUUGGUUUAAGUGGACUUUUUGGGCUAGCCUGGGAAAUGUUAUCAUUUUUACUGUUUUCUACAGAGAAAAUAUUUUCAGAGUUAUGUGUCAAAUAAUUCAACAGACUUAAAAAUUACAACCCAUUUUUGUGUUGGAGCUCUGUGCAGUGUUUCCUCUGCAGUUGUACAUAAAAUGUUUUUACUGUAAAUGAGUUAAUAUAACAUGUUACUUUAUGCCAUAAUAAAAAAAGAUAUUAGUACUUUAUGGUUUUGGUGGCUUUUUGUUUUCUAAAAUGAAAAUAGCCCAAAAUCAUAUUAUAAAAACAAUAAAAGUUGACCAUAAAAAUCUAAGAAUAAAAACAAAGUCAAGAGUCACACCAUGUCUGAUAUUUUGGUGAGCAAUAUUCCGUAUAUUCAUUUAUAAAAUUAGAGUCAUCCAGUUUUGUGACUUAUCUGGAAUUGUUUCUCUGCCCCCCCAACGUUCUGUGCACACCUUUCUGUAAACACAGAUCUAGGAUGACUGUUUCUUAGUGUUUUGGCACAGAGGAUUGAACUUCAGUACUUUACCACUUAGCUAUUCCCCCAAGUUCCCUGCCCCCUCCCCUUUUAUUUUUUAAAGAUUUGAGAUGGUCUCACUGAAUUGCUGAGGCUGUCCUCAAACUUGGGCUCCUCCUACCUUAGUCUCUCAAGUAGCAGGGAUUAUAGGUGUGUGCCACCAUUACCCACUCCAGUGAUAUUUUUGAUACCGUGUUUUCUCAAAUAGAUAAGCCACUACACAUUUAACUCAGACUGGCUAACCACAUCGGUAUUUCCUCAUUUUUCACUAUCUUAGGCAACUCUACAGUUAUAGCCUACUUUAUAUCUGUAUAUUUGUCUGUUAUUUUAGGAUAUGUUUUCUAAAAGAAUUGCAGAAUGAAAGUGAAUGUACUUGAGUUUUUGGUGUAAAUUGCUCUCCAAAUUAGUACCAAUUUACAUUUCAAUCAAUGUCUCUGAGAACCUGUUUCCCUGCACCACUGCACAAUUAGAUUUUAUCUUUUUCAGUUUGCUAGGCACCAAAUAAAAUUGCAUUGUUUUAUUUGCAUUCUUUAAUUGAGGAAUAACAUCUCAUAAUGGCUAUUUAUGUUAUUUUUAUUCAUUAAACAUUUGUCAGUUUUUAAAUUGGGAGCUGUCUUUUGUUGAUAAGAGUUCUUUAUUAUUAGCAUGUAACAUUUUCCAAAUUCAUUUGUAUUUCAACUGAAGUGUUUUUUUGACAUGGAAUUUUAUAUUUUUAUGCAAAUGUAACCCGUCUUUUAUUGUUUUUAUUAUCAAGGAAAUGCCUAAAUAAACUCUCAAGUUUCACUUGCUCCUAAUUGACUUAAAAAUCACUAAUUUUGG
RNAcentral lists this long non-coding RNA (4452 nucleotides) under Marmota monax (woodchuck). The record is from RNAcentral. Lineage: Eukaryota; Metazoa; Chordata; Mammalia; Rodentia; Sciuridae.